GAACAAACCAGUUGGAAAUGGAAAAAAAUUGUUUUGAACAAGUAUUCGUAAUGUACAGCUGAAUUGGGC
Molecule: unclassified non-coding RNA, 69 nt
Filed under: Flavobacterium pectinovorum
Lineage: Bacteria; Pseudomonadati; Bacteroidota; Flavobacteriia; Flavobacteriales; Flavobacteriaceae
Description: Flavo-1 RNA
Source: RNAcentral